RNAcentral lists this ribosomal RNA (460 nucleotides) under uncultured Pelagibacterales bacterium. Its description in RNAcentral is "bacterial SSU rRNA". It matches the Rfam family "Bacterial small subunit ribosomal RNA", at positions 90 to 584 of the family's 1533-position model. The record is from RNAcentral. Lineage: Bacteria; Pseudomonadati; Pseudomonadota; Alphaproteobacteria; Candidatus Pelagibacterales.
ACUUAGUGGCAGACGGGUGAGUAACAUGUGGGUAUCUACCCUUUGGCCUGGAAUAACACGAGGAAACUUGUGCUAAUACCGGAUAAGUCUUUACGGAGAAAGCUUUAUGCACCAUUGGAUGAGCCCGCACUUGAUUAGUUUGUUGGUAGGGUAAUGGCCUACCAAGACUAUGAUCAAUAGCUGAUUUGAGAGGAUGAUCAGCCACAUUGGGACUGAGACACGGCCCAAACUCCUACGGGAGGCAGCAGUGGGGAAUCUUGCACAAUGGAGGAAACUCUGAUGCAGCGAUGCCGCGUGAGUGAAGAAGGCCUUUGGGUUGUAAAGCUCUUUCGUCGGGGAAGAAAAUGACUGUACCCGAAUAAGAAGGUCCGGCUAACUUCGUGCCAGCAGCCGCGGUAAUACGAAGGGACCUAGCGUAGUUCGGAAUUACUGGGCUUAAAGAGUUCGUAGGUGGUUGAAA